UUAGUUGAAACCAAAUAAGAGGUAGCUCACUGUUAAUGAGCAAAAUGAUUUAAUCCUGCUAUA
Molecule: transfer RNA, 63 nt
Filed under: Grandidierella japonica
Lineage: Eukaryota; Metazoa; Arthropoda; Malacostraca; Amphipoda; Corophiidae
Description: tRNA-Asn
Source: RNAcentral